CAGCACCCCAAGUGGUCGGGAUGAUUAUUGGGCCUAAAGCAUCCGUAGCCGGCGCUGUAAGUUUUCGGUUAAAUCUGUACGCUCAACGUACAGGCUGCCGGGAAUACUGCAGCGCUAGGGCGUGGGAGAGGUAGACGGUACUCGGUAGGAAGGGGUAAAAUCCUUUGAUCUAUUGAUGACCACCUGUGGCGAAGGCGGUCUACCAGAACACGUCCGACGGUGAGGGAUGAAAGCUGGGGGAGCAAACCGGAUUAGAGACCCGAGUAGUCC
This 270-nucleotide ribosomal RNA is filed under the name uncultured archaeon. Its description in RNAcentral is "partial 16S ribosomal RNA". It matches the Rfam family "Archaeal small subunit ribosomal RNA", at positions 477 to 747 of the family's 1478-position model. The record is from RNAcentral.